GACGGUUGAUUAAGUCUGAUGUGAAAGCCCGGAGCUCAACUCCGGAAUGGCAUUGGAAACUGGUUAACUUGAGUGUUGUAGAGGUAAGUGGAACUCCAUGUGUAGCGGUGGAAUGCGUAGAUAUAUGGAAGAACACCAGUGGCGAAGGCGGCUUACUGGACAACAACUGACGUUGAGGCUCGAAAGUGUGGGUAGCAAACAGGAUUAGAUACCCUGGUAGUCCACACCGUAAACGAUGAAUACUAGGUGUUAGGAGGUUUCCGCCUCUUAGUGCCGAAGCUAACGCAUUAAGUAUUCCGCCUGGGGAGUACGACCGCAAGGUUGAAACUCAAAGGAAUUGACGGGGGCCCGCACAAGCGGUGGAGCAUGUGGUUUAAUUCGAAGCAACGCGAAGAACCUUACCAGGUCUUGACAUCCUUUGAAGCUUUUAGAGAUAGAAGUGUUCUCUUCGGAGACAAAGUGACAGGUGGUGCAUGGUCGUCGUCAGCUCGUGUCGUGAGAUGUUGGGUUAAGUCCCGUAACGAGCGCAACCCUUAUUGUUAGUUGCCAGCAUUCAGUUGGGCACUCUAGCGAGACU
Molecule: ribosomal RNA, 577 nt
Filed under: Stutzerimonas stutzeri
Lineage: Bacteria; Pseudomonadati; Pseudomonadota; Gammaproteobacteria; Pseudomonadales; Pseudomonadaceae
Description: bacterial SSU rRNA
Rfam family: Bacterial small subunit ribosomal RNA
Source: RNAcentral